RNAcentral lists this unclassified non-coding RNA (144 nucleotides) under Flavobacterium xinjiangense. RNAcentral describes it as "Flavo-1 RNA". The record is from RNAcentral. Lineage: Bacteria; Pseudomonadati; Bacteroidota; Flavobacteriia; Flavobacteriales; Flavobacteriaceae.
GUAUAGCCCAGACAGCAGAGAAAAGCCUCGAGGAAAUAAAGCUAUUUUUUCUUGCAAUGGCAGAGCGACCAAAGGAAGCUCCUGCAAGUGCAAUUGAAAAAAAGAUUUAUGACCAAUAGCUUGAAACGGAUGGCUGGAAUAGCU